GCCCUAAUGGCGGAAUUGGCAGACGCGCAACGUUCAGGUCGUUGUUUGGACUUCCAAGUAUGGGUUCGAAUCCCUUUUAGGGCA
RNAcentral lists this transfer RNA (84 nucleotides) under Apilactobacillus apisilvae. RNAcentral's name for it is "Apilactobacillus sp. SG5_A10 tRNA-Leu". It matches the Rfam family "tRNA". Rfam says of the family: Transfer RNA (tRNA) molecules are approximately 80 nucleotides in length. Their secondary structure includes four short double-helical elements and three loops (D, anti-codon, and T loops). Further hydrogen bonds mediate the characteristic L-shaped molecular structure. tRNAs have two regions of fundamental functional importance: the anti-codon, which is responsible for specific mRNA codon recognition, and the 3' end, to which the tRNAs corresponding amino acid is attached (by aminoacyl-tRNA synthetases). tRNAs cope with the degeneracy of the genetic code in two manners: having more than one tRNA (with a specific anti-codon) for a particular amino acid; and 'wobble' base-pairing, i.e. permitting non-standard base-pairing at the 3rd anti-codon position. The record is from RNAcentral. Lineage: Bacteria; Bacillati; Bacillota; Bacilli; Lactobacillales; Lactobacillaceae.